CCUCAAAUUUCUUAUAAUUCGUUUUAUUUUACCAUUAUUUUAUAUAUAUAACGUACACCUCGAUUAUUUUUUUUACAUAUUUUGUAAACUAAUUGACCAAAAUAUUUUAUAGGAGUAAUAAAUAAUUCUCUACGAAUUAAUAACUCAAUUCAAAAUUUCUUAGAUCUGUCCAAAUUUAAAUGGUUUAUCUAGUACUCAUAAUAGGAAAAAGAUAGAUUUGCAGUCCUUUGUCUUACCAUUUGGCCAUAACUCCAAAAUGCUAUAAAUACAAAAUAGAUUGAAAACUUCCCACAUUCUAGGUUUUGGUAUACCAUGUGCUACCUAUAUUCGACCACGUUCUGUCCAUAUUUAUUGUUAAUAAAAAUAAUGCAACUAUCAAGGAAAAACAAAUUGAUGAUUUUAUAUAUAUUUUAUUUACUUGGGGAGAUGAGAUGGGUAUAAGUUAAAAUGUUCAAUCGAUUCUUUGACAGCUGUCACCCAGAUUUAUAAUGAUAAAAUAUCUAGAAGUGUUGGGUUAAUAAUGAUAAAAUAAUGUUCCAAAAGUAUUUAGGUAUAAUUUUCAAAAAAUACUAUCUGACACCAUAUUUGAAAAUACUAUAACCAUGAGUCAGGUUCCGGGUCCCGGAUCAAGUCAGUAGUAGGAUUCGGAACCCCAAAGUGUUGCUUUUUUUCUGGAAAUGAUGGGUUUACAUAAUAUAUAUAUAUAUGUAUAUGUAAGAUGAGCAUUACUAGAAUAAUUUAAUCAAGUUCUUCUGGGUCUGCUAUAACUUUAAUUCUUAUAACACAAGUAGCGUAAUACUAUAGAUAUGACUUAUGAGAACU
Molecule: non-coding RNA, 822 nt
Organism: Solanum lycopersicum (tomato)
Lineage: Eukaryota; Viridiplantae; Streptophyta; Magnoliopsida; Solanales; Solanaceae
Source: RefSeq, a predicted model, not a curated record